CGCUAGGAGCACGGUGCUAGGAGCAGAGAAAGGGAAAGGAAGAAUGCAUGUUAAAGUAUUGUAUCAGGAGCUUGCUCUGCCACCCUGCCCUGACAGACAGACAGUGAAUUAGCCAUAGUGUUUGAACUUUGACCUCAGGCAGUAAAACUAUAAUAAACAGAUCCAUUUACAAUGACAUCAUAUUCCCUCGCCCCUGUAACGGGUAUAAUGAUGUCAUAUUCCCUCGCCCCUGUAACGGGUAUAAUGAUGUCAUAUUCCCUCGCCCCUGUAACGGGUAUAAUGAUGUCAUAUUCCCUCGCCCCUGUAACGGGUAUAAUGAUGUCAUAUUCCCUCGCCCCUGUAACGGUUAUAAUGAUGUCAUAUUCCCUCGCCUCUGUAACGGUUAUAAUGACAUCAUAUUCCCUCGCCCCUGUAACGGGUAUAAUGAUGUCAUAUUCCCUCGCCCCUGUAACGGUUAUAAUGACAUCAUAUUCCCUCGCCCCUGUAACGGUUAUAAUGACAUCAUAUUCCCUCGCCCCUGUAACGGUUAUAAUGACGUCAUAUUCCCUCGUCCCCUGUAAUGGGGGAUGGUGACAUCAUAUUCCCUCGUCCCCUGUAAUGGGGGAUGGUGACAUCAUAUUCCCUCGUCCCCUGUAAUGGGGGAUGGUGACAUCAUAUUCCCUCGUCCCUUUAACUGGUAUAGUGGUUUUAGCGCCAUUGUUGCAUCAAAGUCACAUUCCGAUCUCAAAACGACAUCCUCUAAUCCUGAAAUGUUGUAGCCUGGUCUCGUAUAUUUGUGUUCUUGUUCCGCUGCUGCCAAUGGCAACUCAGUGUUGUCAUGACAAUUAGUGACAAGGAGUUGGCAUGAUGGCACAAACAGACGGGCGCUCAUGCUAGCAACGUUGCUAUUUCUAACGAUGUUAAGCUAGACAUUACCAUGGACAACAAGCCAAAUAUCCCAUGCCUUGUAAAUUGGGUUAUGAAUUCUACCAGCCUUUCAUUACAAAAUGAAGGACAGAGGCGGACUUACUUAUGUUUCAUCAGUGAAACAGGCCCUCAAACUGUUAAAUCUGCUUCGGAUAAAGAGCCUAUUAGCAGCCCAGACAGUGUGAUAGUCCAUCACCCUCAGAGAAACAUGCAACGCCCUCUUCGCUGUGUGUGUGUGUGUGUGUGUGUGUGUGUGUGUGUGUGUCAUAAUACAUGUAUUUGAUGAGGGUCUGAGAUAAAUUGAAUGUAUUGUCAUGGCUGACCUCAGAUCAGAAGAGGCUGUAAAAGUGCUGGGCUGCACCUCAGCUGAUAUCCUAAUUCCUUAUAUAGAGCCCUAUGGGCCUUGGUCAAAAGUUGUCCUCUAUUUAUGUAAUGAAGCCCCUUUGGAAUGCAACCCACCACUUGGAGAAGCUGUAAAAGACUGUUCUCACUGGAUUGUUAGGUCUACAACUGCCCCAAACCUGAUGGAUUAAGUUACACAUAAGCCCAGGUCUGAGAACAGUUUUUAUGUGUACUUCCCUAAUGGUAACUGCUAGGAUUGGCAUGGAGAAAGCUGAUCAAAGGUCAGUUUCGUCUUUACAUUAUAAUGAAUGGACAAAGGACGGGGGGACCUGAUGAUAGAUCAGUAUUUCUACGCUGAAAACAUUUCGGGAAUACUGUACUUUGUCCUAGCAGUCCCUUUUUGGACACUGAGGUACAAUAAAUAGCACUUUGGAGCAUAGGGCUGCUAACGUUUAGUGAUUCCAUAUGUUAAUCUGUAAUUCUAUGGUAUGGGGCUCUGUCUCUCAGAGGAGGGUGCGCAUUCACAUUGUUUUGGUGUACGAUUUAUCACAAUUUAUCGAUCACACUUUUGAUGAAAGCUGGAUGUCAAAACAAAU
Molecule: long non-coding RNA, 1844 nt
Filed under: Salmo salar (Atlantic salmon)
Lineage: Eukaryota; Metazoa; Chordata; Actinopteri; Salmoniformes; Salmonidae
Description: lncRNA (ENSSSAG00000120244.1)
Source: RNAcentral